GCGCCUGUAGCUCAGCCGGAUAGAGUGCGCGGCUACGAACCGCGAGACCGGGGGUUCGAGUCCCUCCAGGCGUACCA
This 77-nucleotide transfer RNA is filed under the name Sporobacter termitidis DSM 10068. Its description in RNAcentral is "tRNA_Arg_ACG". It matches the Rfam family "tRNA". From Rfam's summary of the family: Transfer RNA (tRNA) molecules are approximately 80 nucleotides in length. Their secondary structure includes four short double-helical elements and three loops (D, anti-codon, and T loops). The record is from RNAcentral. Lineage: Bacteria; Bacillati; Bacillota; Clostridia; Eubacteriales; Oscillospiraceae.